GCCUACGACCUGCUCUCUGCCCUGGGAUCACCUCCUGCUACUUCCUGUCUGACAGAGACAGAAGAAAAGAGAGAAGGACAGAACAGAGGAGGACAAGAACAGAGUGAGAGUCAUGUUGAUGUGACUCCACAGUGCAGUGAGGUAGCUCUCCUGAAGAGGAAGCUGUCCUUCACACAACAUCAGCUGGAAUCCCUGAAGAAAAGGCUUGUCGAGGCGCUGAAAGAAAACUACAACUUGAGACUAACCAGCCUGAAGCAGGACUCCUCUACCACUGCAGAGACCAACUGUGGCAGGCAUUGGGACAGGUGUCUACAGAGACAGGUGCUAGUUCUGAGAGAGCAGGAGACACACCUGAGACAACUGGAGCAGACCAUUGUGCUUCUACAGGGCAAGCACAGGUCUUUGGUGUCCAAUAAUAACUCUCUGUUGGGACAUCUAAAUGAACACAUAACAGAACAAACAGAGUCCAGGGUCCAGAGAAUCCAGCCAGCAGACUAAUCUAAUGAGUUCAACAUUGAACAUCAAUUCAAGCCUUUGCCAAGAUUGUACUGCGUUCUAAUGAAUAGAGCCUACUCUGUAAACUGUGUAGGCUAUGUUUGGCAUACUGUGAAAUGACAUUGUAUUUGUAAUAGACCUGCUUUUUAUAUGCACUCAAAUGUAUUUAUCAAAACAAUUAAAAAUAAAUUAAAA
Molecule: long non-coding RNA, 690 nt
Organism: Oncorhynchus tshawytscha (Chinook salmon)
Lineage: Eukaryota; Metazoa; Chordata; Actinopteri; Salmoniformes; Salmonidae
Exons: 4
Source: RefSeq, a predicted model, not a curated record